This 633-nucleotide ribosomal RNA is filed under the name Penicillium janthinellum. Its description in RNAcentral is "eukaryotic LSU rRNA". It matches the Rfam family "Eukaryotic large subunit ribosomal RNA", at positions 1 to 649 of the family's 3401-position model. The record is from RNAcentral. Lineage: Eukaryota; Fungi; Ascomycota; Eurotiomycetes; Eurotiales; Aspergillaceae.
UGACCUCGGAUCAGGUAGGGAUACCCGCUGAACUUAAGCAUAUCAAUAAGCGGAGGAAAAGAAACCAACAGGGAUUGCCUCAGUAACGGCGAGUGAAGCGGCAAGAGCUCAAAUUUGAAAGCUGGCCCCUUCGGGGUCCGCAUUGUAAUUUGCAGAGGAUGCUUCGGGAGCGGCCCCCAUCUAAGUGCCCUGGAACGGGCCGUCAUAGAGGGUGAGAAUCCCGUCUGGGAUGGGGUGCCCGCGCCCGUGUGAAGCUCCUUCGACGAGUCGAGUUGUUUGGGAAUGCAGCUCUAAAUGGGUGGUAAAUUUCAUCUAAAGCUAAAUACUGGCCGGAGACCGAUAGCGCACAAGUAGAGUGAUCGAAAGAUGAAAAGCACUUUGAAAAGAGAGUUAAACAGCACGUGAAAUUGUUGAAAGGGAAGCGCUUGCGACCAGACUCGCUCGCGGGGUUCAGCCGGCCUUCGGGCCGGUGUACUUCCCCGCGGGCGGGCCAGCGUCGGUUUGGGCGGCCGGUCAAAGGCCCUCGGAAUGUAACGCCCCCCGGGGCGUCUUAUAGCCGAGGGUGCCAUGCGGCCAGCCCGGACCGAGGAACGCGCUUCGGCUCGGACGCUGGCAUAAUGGUCGUAAGCGACC